RNAcentral lists this transfer RNA (73 nucleotides) under Marmota marmota marmota (Alpine marmot). It matches the Rfam family "tRNA". Rfam says of the family: Transfer RNA (tRNA) molecules are approximately 80 nucleotides in length. Their secondary structure includes four short double-helical elements and three loops (D, anti-codon, and T loops). Further hydrogen bonds mediate the characteristic L-shaped molecular structure. tRNAs have two regions of fundamental functional importance: the anti-codon, which is responsible for specific mRNA codon recognition, and the 3' end, to which the tRNAs corresponding amino acid is attached (by aminoacyl-tRNA synthetases). tRNAs cope with the degeneracy of the genetic code in two manners: having more than one tRNA (with a specific anti-codon) for a particular amino acid; and 'wobble' base-pairing, i.e. permitting non-standard base-pairing at the 3rd anti-codon position. The record is from Rfam by way of RNAcentral. Lineage: Eukaryota; Metazoa; Chordata; Mammalia; Rodentia; Sciuridae. RNAcentral also lists the same sequence under 1 other name.
AGUGAUGUAAUUCAGUGGUAGAACACUUGCCUACCACACAGGAGGCUCUGUGGUUUGAUUCCCAGCACCACAU